RNAcentral lists this long non-coding RNA (2312 nucleotides) under Arabidopsis lyrata. RNAcentral's name for it is "long non-coding RNA (ALYR_LNC000370)". The record is from RNAcentral. Lineage: Eukaryota; Viridiplantae; Streptophyta; Magnoliopsida; Brassicales; Brassicaceae.
UACUAGUUACUUAAAACCAUUGUCUUAAGGUAAUCAUUUGGUCUUUUGUUCUGUAGUUUUACCAUCUAUGUUUGAAUUUUUGUCUAUUAUAUGAAUUUUGUUUGGAUGCAUCGAACUUGUAUCAUUUGAUUUGAAUUAUUAUCUGUGGCGGUCAAAUUAAAGUCUUAGAAGAAGAAAAAUAUUCGGUGGUAAACAGUAAACAUAUCAAUCAAUCAGAGUAAUUAUCGAUUUCAUAUUUGAAUUCUGAAAAUACAGAAUUUAGGCGUUGAUCAAGUCUUUCAAAUUUGUAUCACUUAGAAAGCCCUUCAAUCACGGAACACUAUAAAUUGAUAGUGAACAUCAGAACAUGAUUAUUCUUAAACCACUGCCAUAAUUAACUAUUGAGUCGUCAUCUUUUUUAUCUAUACAAGGGAAAAUUAUUUAUUAGAGUUUUAUGUUGUUUCUUACUGAUUUUUGUUUUCAUCAAACUUAAGAAUUUUUUUAAUGAGAAUUCGUAGGGAAUAGUUUAUUUUUUAAAACAUUUAACAUAUUUAAUUAGUAGGACUUGACUUUCCUUAAUAAAUCCUAGCUAGAGAGCUACAUAUGUUAUUUGUAAUUUUGUAAACUCAAUAUCCGUCGUGAGUGUUCAGAUAGUCGGAGGUUCUUACGGGAACAAAUUGUUACAAAGAUACAUGCGACUACAAAUUUAAGUAAGCACAUUAUAAAUUUUGGAUUCAUGCAUCCAUACCCUAUCCCAGUGGCGGAGGCAGCCAUUGUCUUGGUAGGGGUCAAUUUUUAUAGUAAAACUAAAAAUCUGUUUUGAACAAUAUUUUAUAGGAGUCAAUAAGCAUAUUUUAAACCAUUUUCCUGAAUUUUACUUAGAAUAUUACAAGUAAAUUAAAAUUUUCUACAAAUAAGGGUCAAUUGACCCCCAUAAUAACAAUAUACCUCCGCCCCUGCCCUAUCCAAAAUAUACAUUUAAUUGUUUUUCUUGUUCAUAACAAUAAUAUUCAUAAUUCCUUACAAAUUUGAUGUUUAUGUCUAACAAUUUUUUUAUAUAUAGAUUUUGAAAGAAUGUAAAAUUGUAUUCAACCAAAAAAAAUUGUUGUACAAUGAAUGAGUCAAAGAGAGUAGAAAGUUAUAGAGUUAAAAAAAAAAAACGCAGAAUCUAAGUUCUAGUUUGAGGCCACUUUCAUAGGGCACCUUUUGAAUGGUGCUGAGCUUGUUUCUUACACUUCUGUCAAUGAUGCGAGUGAGCUUUUGAGCUGGGGUGGGAGUGUCUUCGUGCCUUGUACCAAUUAUUUUCCUCCAUAUACUAUGUAACAAUAUUCUAUAUUUCAUGUUGUAUAUACUAGGCAUGUUCUUUUGUUGAUCGCUGGGAUUGAUUCCAGCGACUGAAAAUUAAAGAAGGAAAUGAGGAAUGGACAACACGUUUAUUACAAAAGUUCAGUCGCUGAUUGUUCGGAAGAGAGGACGUGUUUUGAUUUCUAGUCGCUGAAUUUUUUGACGACUCCUCCAUCAUUGUUGCUACACCUCCAUUUAUUCCAGCGACACUUUGCUUCAUGGGCUUUAGGUCAGGGCCGGGCCUUUCGGGUCAUAUAAGGUAACGAGUUCCAUUAUCCAUUGGGAUGAACAAUUUGAUUGUGGUUACCAUCAGGCCAAAGCUCUUCUUUUUUUUUUGCUCCAGGAAAAGUCUUCAUGUAGCACUAGGCUUCUCAAGCCUCUCCGUACAAUACAUCUCAAACCAAAUGUAAAACCGAAUCUUCUCUAAAGCUGUUGUUUUUUUGCUAAAUAUGUAAAUAUCAUAAAUGAAAGUUGAGGCUUUACACAAAAUAAAACCUAAGCAAGGGUAACCUUGGCAAAAAAAGUAAAAACAAGGUUACAAUAGAGUUAAGAAAGAUUUGAGGAAGUAAUCGGAUCCAAAGAAGUAUAAGCUUUUUGUAAGUGCGGAUGAGGUCAAAUAAAUUGCAGUAAAUUGCAGAAAGUAAACGAGACAAGAAAUUUGUUAACAAAGUCGGUUUUUCCUACUCCUCGGGACCAAGUCCAAAUUUCGAUUUCACUAGAACAAGAAAGCAAAUUACAACCAAUUCGCAAACGCGUAAAACAAGCACAACCCUCUUGAUUUACCGCUCCCUUCUAUAACGUGAAACCUUAAGGAUAAUCUCUACCCUUAACUAAACUCCCCCUUGAGUCUAGAUUUAAUCAGGAUAACCUAACCCUGAGCUAAACUCCCCCUGAGUCUAGACUUUAAUUCUUCAAGUCUCUGGACUAACCGUCACACACAAACGUUACACCAACAGACAAAUAAGUUUGAUCACACAAGCAUCAAACCG